AACGAACGCUGGCGGCAUGCCUAACACAUGCAAGUCGAACGAGACCUUCGGGUCUAGUGGCGCACGGGUUCGUAACGCGUGGGAACCUGCCCUUAGGUUCGGAAUAACUCCCCGAAAGGGGUGCUAAUACCGGAUAAUGUCUUCGGACCAAAGAUUUAUCGCCUUUGGAUGGGCCCGCGUUGGAUUAGCUAGUUGGUAGGGUAAAAGCCUACCAAGGCGACGAUCCAUAGCUGGUCUGAGAGGAUGAUCAGCCACACUGGGACUGAGACACGGCCCAGACUCCUACGGGAGGCAGCAGUGGGGAAUAUUGGAAAAUGGGCGAAAGCCUGAUCCAGCAAUGCCGCGUGAGUGAUGAAGGCAUUAGGGUUGUAAAGCUCUUUUAACCGGGAUGAUAAUGACAGUACCGGGAGAAUAAGCUACGGCUAACUCCGUG
RNAcentral lists this ribosomal RNA (433 nucleotides) under uncultured bacterium. Its description in RNAcentral is "partial 16S ribosomal RNA". It matches the Rfam family "Bacterial small subunit ribosomal RNA", at positions 29 to 507 of the family's 1533-position model. The record is from RNAcentral.